This 440-nucleotide ribosomal RNA is filed under the name uncultured bacterium. RNAcentral describes it as "partial 16S ribosomal RNA". It matches the Rfam family "Bacterial small subunit ribosomal RNA", at positions 338 to 795 of the family's 1533-position model. The record is from RNAcentral.
CCUACGGGAGGCAGCAGUGGGGAAUAUUGCACAAUGGGGGAAACCCUGAUGCAGCGACGCCGCGUGAGUGAAGAAGUAUUUCGGUAUGUAAAGCUCUAUCAGCAGGGAAGAAAAUGACGGUACCUGACUAAGAAGCCUCGGCUAACUACGUGCCAGCAGCCGCGGUAAUACGUAGGGGGCAAGCGUUAUCCGGAUUUACUGGGUGUAAAGGGAGCGGAGACGGUGAUGCAAGUCAGAAGUGAAAGCCCGGGGCUCAACUCCGGGACUGCUUUUGAAACUGUGUAACUUGAGUGCAGGAGAGGUAAGCGGAAUUCCUGGUGUAGCGGUGAAAUGCGUAGAUAUCAGGAGGAACACCAGUGGCGAAGGCGGCUUACUGGACUGUAACUGACGUUGAGGCUCGAAAGCGUGGGGAGCAAACAGGAUUAGAUACCCCUGUAGUC